UUUUUAUAUAUGGGCGCGCCCACACCGCGGUAAUUCGUAGGGUGCAAGCGUUAUCCGGAAUUAUUGGGCGUAAAGGGCUCGUAGGCGGUUCGUCGCGUCCGGUGUGAAAGUCCAUCGCUUAACGGUGGAUCCGCGCCGGGUACGGGCGGGCUUGAGUGCGGUAGGGGAGACUGGAAUUCCCGGUGUAACGGUGGAAUGUGUAGAUAUCGGGAAGAACACCAAUGGCGAAGGCAGGUCUCUGGGCCGUUACUGACGCUGAGGAGCGAAAGCGUGGGGAGCGAACAGGAUUAGAUACCCUGGUAGUCCACGCCGUAAACGGUGGAUGCUGGAUGUGGGGCCCGUUCCACGGGUUCCGUGUCGGAGCUAACGCGUUAAGCAUCCCGCCUGGGGAGUACGGCCGCAAGGCUAAAACUCAAAGAAAUUGACGGGGGCCCGCACAAGCGGCGGAGCAUGCGGAUUAAUUCGAUGCAACGCGAAGAACCUUACCUGGGCUUGACAUGUUCCCGACGGUCGUAGAGAUACGGCUUCCCUUCGGGGCGGGUUCACAGGUGGUGCAUGGUCGUCGUCAGCUCGUGUCGUGAGAUGUUGGGUUAAGUCCCGCAACGAGCGCAACCCUCGCCCCGUGUUGCCAGCGGAUUAUGCCGGGAACUCACGGGGGACCGCCGGGGUUAACUCGGAGGAAGGUGGGGAUGACGUCAGAUCAUCAUGCCCCUUACGUCCAGGGCUUCACGCAUGCUACAAUGGCCGGUACAACGGGAUGCGACGCGGCGACGCGGAGCGGAUCCCUGAAAACCGGUCUCAGUUCGGAUCGCAGUCUGCAACUCGACUGCGUGAAGGCGGAGUCGCUAGUAAUCGCGAAUCAGCAACGUCGCGGAAUGCGUCCCCUGACCUUU
Molecule: ribosomal RNA, 893 nt
Filed under: Bifidobacterium longum
Lineage: Bacteria; Bacillati; Actinomycetota; Actinomycetes; Bifidobacteriales; Bifidobacteriaceae
Description: bacterial SSU rRNA
Rfam family: Bacterial small subunit ribosomal RNA
Source: RNAcentral